AUGGAGCAGUUUUGUAGACCCUUUGGUUUGUCCUUGCUGCAUCUGGGCAGUGAAGGCAUAGCAGAAUCUUCAGACACUCCACCARCCAGAGAAGCUGUGGCUGCCCCAUCCCUGGAAGUGUCCAAGGAGCUGAUUGCAAGCUCACACAGGUGAUGUUCCUUAAAUCCUGAACUCCCAGAAGCACAGAAUUGCAUCAGAACCUCCACCUUCAGCUCACCUCACCUCACCUCACCUCCUCUCUUACCUGGGCCAAGACAAGUGCUGCCCAUCUCAUCCUUCGUGGAGAACAUUGGACAAGUGGAGUUGAGACCAGCCCCCUGUCUGCUGUCAGCUUCCCAGGUUUUGUCCACUUGCAUCUUCCAUGCUGCUGUAAAAUUCUCUUUCCACAUACAGGUAGGAAAUGAUAUUUAAUACUUCAGCCAGUGAGGGGGAGAUGGGGACAGCACCUCAGAAGCUGCUUCUCAACCACUCCCUGAUUUUCAGCCCAGCCACACUGGCAUGUUGGGACAGCCUGGGAGCUGUUUGAGCAGGCACCAGGCUCCCUCAGAACCCGAGCCCAGGCAGGGAGCAGCGUGCUCUGGCCACGCUGCCUCCAUCCUGCCUGUCCCAGCUCGCCCUGCAUGCAGAGAGACUGGAGCUCAUGGAACCGCCUUCCUGUCUGCACCAAAAUCCCUUCUCACUACUCAAAGGAUGUAAAGGGAACAUGGAGCAAAGCACAGAAGCAAUUCUCCAGUCUCUGAAGCUGUUAAAAAUAUUUCUGAUAAAGGUACAGAUAUGCACAGCUGAGCUCCAGUGAACACCUUCUUGUUUCUCAUGCUAAUUUUAUAUUGUUCCCGAAGCAGAGCCUGAUUUUUUUGCUUGUGAAAGGAAGAUAUUAAUUCUGGUCCUAUUCAUUAAUCAUAUCAAAACCCAAGGUAUGCAGAUAUUAUUUUUCAGUAAUUUUAAGGUGCCAGUGUAUUAAUAAAAGGUUAAGAAAUGCAAAAUAGCUGUAAAGGGUUUGGUUUUUUUCUUGAAGUGUAUGGUUUUCUCACAUUACUGCAGACUACAUAUUUCUUUAUUUGUCAGUAAG
This is a long non-coding RNA of Malurus melanocephalus (red-backed fairy wren), 1069 nucleotides long. RefSeq lists it as uncharacterized. The transcript has 4 exons. Lineage: Eukaryota; Metazoa; Chordata; Aves; Passeriformes; Maluridae. The record is from RefSeq and is a predicted model, not a curated record.